Molecule: ribosomal RNA, 334 nt
Filed under: uncultured bacterium
Lineage: Bacteria
Description: partial 16S rRNA
Rfam family: Bacterial small subunit ribosomal RNA
Source: RNAcentral
AGGGUUUGAUUAUGGCUCAGGAUGAACGCUAGCUACAGGCUUAACACAUGCAAGUCGAGGGGAAACGACAGUAAAGCUUGCUUUAUUGGGCGUCGACCGGCGCACGGGUGCGUAACGCGUAUCCAACCUGCCCCCAACUCCGGAAUAGUCCCCCGAAAGGGGGGUUAACGCCGGAUGCUGCAAUUUUUCCGCAUGGUGGAAUUGCGAAAUGAAAAAGGUUGGGGCUGGGGAUGCGUCCCAUUAGGUAGUAGGCGGGGUAACGGCCCACCUAGCCGACGAUGGGUAGGGGUUCUGAGAGGAAGGUCCCCCACAUUGGAACUGAGACACGGUCCAA